RNAcentral lists this transfer RNA (70 nucleotides) under Xenoconger fryeri (Fryer's false moray). Its description in RNAcentral is "tRNA-Tyr". It matches the Rfam family "tRNA". Rfam says of the family: Transfer RNA (tRNA) molecules are approximately 80 nucleotides in length. Their secondary structure includes four short double-helical elements and three loops (D, anti-codon, and T loops). Further hydrogen bonds mediate the characteristic L-shaped molecular structure. tRNAs have two regions of fundamental functional importance: the anti-codon, which is responsible for specific mRNA codon recognition, and the 3' end, to which the tRNAs corresponding amino acid is attached (by aminoacyl-tRNA synthetases). tRNAs cope with the degeneracy of the genetic code in two manners: having more than one tRNA (with a specific anti-codon) for a particular amino acid; and 'wobble' base-pairing, i.e. permitting non-standard base-pairing at the 3rd anti-codon position. The record is from RNAcentral. Lineage: Eukaryota; Metazoa; Chordata; Actinopteri; Anguilliformes; Chlopsidae.
GGUAAAAUGGCUGAGUGUAAAGCGGUGGGCUGUAGACCCAUAAAUAGGGGUUUAACUCCUCUUUUUAUCA